Molecule: small RNA, 29 nt
Filed under: Bombyx mori (domestic silkworm)
Lineage: Eukaryota; Metazoa; Arthropoda; Insecta; Lepidoptera; Bombycidae
Description: ovarian small RNA-29291
Source: RNAcentral
UCGUCUUCAAAAACGGGAAUUUGGUUGUA